This 511-nucleotide small RNA is filed under the name Pongo abelii (Sumatran orangutan). RNAcentral describes it as "processed transcript". Lineage: Eukaryota; Metazoa; Chordata; Mammalia; Primates; Hominidae. The record is from RNAcentral.
ACCUGCUCGAGUGAGGCUGGGAGCGGACCGCUGCCCGCUGGAGGUGCCGGGGGCGAAAUGCUGGCGUCUAAAUGCUGGCGUCUCCUCCUUCCUCUCCCAGAAUCCUUCCUUGGAAAAAAACAAGCGCCAACCGCAAGUUUAACUGAGGACCGAUUUAAGGCAUUACGAAAGACACCACAACACAUACGUGUAUCUUCCUUGGGCUAUCUUCCCUGCUCUGCCACACCGGGUCUGGAGAAGGGGUUUCAGCCCCAGGACAUUUACUGAGAGUCGGCGAGUAUUGGGCAUUACUAGGGACGUGAAUGGGAGACUGGUAUAGAAAGUGGUGAGGAGCCAAAGACAAGAAAUUGCUUUAAACACAAGAUGAAAAUGCUCUGUUCUGUCCACACAAAGAAUCACCUAAUACUGGUGUGAGGCAUCUCACUUAGCUGUGGAGAAGUCCUUGGAAUUAGAUCUCAGAAAGACAGUUCCAGCUUUAAGACAGUAAAACCUUUAGGCAAUGGGCUAAUUG